GCAGUGCCUGGGUUCCAAGCCAGGCAAAGUUUCCAAA
This 37-nucleotide small RNA is filed under the name Fusarium venenatum. Lineage: Eukaryota; Fungi; Ascomycota; Sordariomycetes; Hypocreales; Nectriaceae. The record is from RNAcentral.